GACGAACGCUGGCGGCGCGCCUAACACAUGCAAGUCGAACGAACGAGCGAGAUCUUGCUUUCGGGAUCGAGUGACUCACGUGUGGGUAGCGCGUGAGAAACGUGCCUGAUAUAGGGGGACAACGGUUGGAAACGAGGGCUAAUACCGCUUAAGCCCACUAGGCCGCAUGGCAGAGGGGUGAAAGGGGGAAUGAGCUUUGAGAGGGAGUGGCGGCGGAUUAGGUCGUUGGGGUGGUAGAGGCGGAACAAGGCGACGAAGGGUAGCGGGGAUGAGAGGUUGGACGGCCGCCUUGGGACUGAGCGAGGGCCCAGACUCGUAAGGGAGGCAGCAGUGGGGGAUACUGCACACUGGGGCAAAGCGUGAUGCAGCGACGCCGUGUGGAGGAAGACGCCCUUCGGAUUGGAAAAAGCUGUCGUUGGGGAAGAUAAUGACGGUAACUAAUAAGGAAGUGACGGCUAAAUAAGUG
This 466-nucleotide ribosomal RNA is filed under the name uncultured bacterium. RNAcentral's name for it is "partial 16S ribosomal RNA". It matches the Rfam family "Bacterial small subunit ribosomal RNA", at positions 28 to 507 of the family's 1533-position model. The record is from RNAcentral.